AAGUCGUAACAAGGUUUCCGUCGUAGGUGAACCUGCGGAAGGAUCAUUAACACGUAUCCAAACGUUAAACCCCCCUGUGAACCUUCACCUGUACUCCGGGUCACUGGGCGCAAGCCCCCCUAAAACCGCUGCUAAUCGCGGCCGCGAUAAUACGCAGUCGACCAAAAACCGAACAACUGUAACAAUGGAUAUCUUGGUUCUC
Molecule: unclassified non-coding RNA, 202 nt
Filed under: fungal sp.
Lineage: Eukaryota; Fungi
Description: partial internal transcribed spacer region
Source: RNAcentral